CAUGGCUCAAGACGAACGCUGGCGGCGUGCUUAACACAUGCAAGUCGAACGAUGAAGCGGUGCUCGCACCGUGGAUUAGCGGCGAACGGGUGAGUAAUACGUGAGUCGACCUACCUUUGACUCUGGGAUAAGCCUGGGAAACUGGGUCUAAUACCGGAUACGACCAAUCUCUGCAUGGGGUGUUGGUGGAAAGCGUUAUGGAGUGGUUUUAGAUGGGCUCACGGCCUAUCAGCUUGUUGGUGAGGUAAUGGCUUACCAAGGCGACGACGGGUAGCCGGCCUGAGAGGGUGACCGGCCACACUGGGACUGAGACACGGCCCAGACUCCUACGGGAGGCAGCAGUGGGGAAUAUUGCACAAUGGGCGCAAGCCUGAUGCAGCGACGCCGCGUGAGGGAUGACGGCCUUCGGGUUGUAAACCUCUGUUAGCAUCGAAGAAGCGAAAGUGACGGUAGGUGCAGGGAAAGCGCCGGCUAACUACGUGCCAGCAGCCGCGGUAAUACGUAGGGCGCGAGCGUUGUCCGGAAUUAUUGGGCGUAAAGAGCUUGUAGGCGGUUGGUCGCGUCUGCUGUGAAAGGCCGGGGCUUAACUCCGGUUUUGCAGUGGGUACGGGCUAACUAGAGUGCAGUAGGGGAGACUGGAAUUCCUGGUGUAGCGGUGGAAUGCACAGAUAUCAGGAGGAACACCGAUGGCGAAGGCAGGUCUCUGGGCUGUAACUGACGCUGAGAAGCGAAAGCAUGGGGAGCGAACAGGAUUAGAUACCCUGGUAGUCCAUGCCGUAAACGUUGGGCACUAGGUGUGGGGGACAUUCCACGUUUUCCGCGCCGUAGCUAACGCAUUAAGUGCCCCGCCUGGGGAGUACGGCCGCAAGGCUAAAACUCAAAGGAAUUGACGGGGGCCCGCACAAGCGGCGGAGCAUGCGGAUUAAUUCGAUGCAACGCGAAGAACCUUACCAAGGCUUGACAUGCAUUAGAUCGCGUCAGAGAUGGCGUUUCCCUUCGGGGCUGGUGUACAGGUGGUGCAUGGUUGUCGUCAGCUCGUGUCGUGAGAUGUUGGGUUAAGUCCCGCAACGAGCGCAACCCUCGUUCUAUGUUGCCAGCGGUUCGGCCGGGGACUCAUAGGAGACUGCCGGGGUCAACUCGGAGGAAGGUGGGGAUGACGUCAAAUCAUCAUGCCCCUUAUGUCUUGGGCUUCACGCAUGCUACAAUGGCCGGUACAGAGGGUUGCGAUACUGUGAGGUGGAGCUAAUCCCUUAAAGCCGGUCUCAGUUCGGAUUGGGGUCUGCAACUCGACCCCUUGAAAGUCGGAGUCGCUAGUAAUCGCAGAAUCAGCAACGCUGCGGUGAAUACGUUCCCGGGCCUUGUACACACCGCCCGUC
This 1376-nucleotide ribosomal RNA is filed under the name uncultured bacterium. RNAcentral describes it as "16S ribosomal RNA". It matches the Rfam family "Bacterial small subunit ribosomal RNA". The record is from RNAcentral.